GACCACGUGGUUCAAAUAGUGAAUGCAUGGAGACAGUAGUGUAGUUAUAAUUUCUAUAACUACUACAGGAAGCAAUGCGUUAUUGUUUACUGGUCGAACCUAGUAAUCUCGCUCGAGCGUAUUGUUACUAGUGACUACAACUUGUUUAAUACAACUCUAGCCGGAAACAGAGUGGCCGCGAGAAGCUGAGAUGGAACUCAGACUGAUAUUAGGAUGGGAGGUCAGGAAUGUCUCUAAUCAGUCUCUGAGUAAUUACGAUAUUUAUUUUCUGAGUUAUUUUAAAAGAGUGCGCAGGUUUGUGAUAUGUAACGUGUACUUAUAUAAACCAUAGGCUUAUGGACGUGUGAUAUGAACCCAGUAAUCAAAAUGACGACAAUGCGACUUUAAAUACAGAUCGCGAACGGUAGGCCAUUGAAACUUCGUUCUUGGCUACUCCCCGUAACUUACGAGCAACUUGCCGGUUUAAUGUGGGUAAAAGUUUCACAAAAUCCUACCUGUGCUAGCAGCGGAAGGUGCCUCCCCGACUGCCCAACUUAACCACUUGAGUGCGGGUUUGUUCCCUUCGCACAUUGCGUGUUUCGGCGAAGCAAAAAAAGGGGUUCGUACUACGUUGUCCAUGGAUUUGAAAACAUUUGCUGUGGAAAUGAUGCUGUAAAUGCAUUGGACGUUUUAUUUAAAAGCUUUUCUGUUUUGAAUAUAAAAGUGCCAGCACUGCUGGCGAAUUUAAAAGAAUUUUUUUGAUAUACAGAUAUAUUUAUUAAAAAGAACUAGUCGACGAAAAGCAGUUAAUGACAUAGUUAAGAUUUUUGAAACGGUUGAAGAAGCCGAGCGACUUCACAACGCAAGCGGACCAAGUCGCGGCAGUAGCAUGACUCAACAAAAUCCUUAGUUGAUACACAGAGAAGGAAUAAUCUGGAAAUAUCUUGUACUACCGAAAAUA
Molecule: long non-coding RNA, 940 nt
Organism: Topomyia yanbarensis
Lineage: Eukaryota; Metazoa; Arthropoda; Insecta; Diptera; Culicidae
Exons: 3
Source: RefSeq, a predicted model, not a curated record